UACGUAGGUGGCAAGCGUUGUCCGGAUUUAUUGGGUUUAAAGGGUGCGUAGGCGGUCUUUUAAGUCAGUGCUGAAAUACUCCAGCUUAACUGGAGGGGUGGCAUUGAUACUGGAAGACUUGAGUAUAGUUGAGGUAGGCGGAAUUGACGGUGUAGCGGUGAAAUGCUUAGAUAUCGUCAAGAACACCGAUAGUGAAGACAGCUUACGAAGCUAUAACUGACGCUGAGGCACGAAAG
This 236-nucleotide ribosomal RNA is filed under the name uncultured bacterium. RNAcentral describes it as "partial 16S ribosomal RNA". It matches the Rfam family "Bacterial small subunit ribosomal RNA", at positions 524 to 759 of the family's 1533-position model. The record is from RNAcentral.